AUAUGUUAACAUACAUUUCCGGGAUUACUUACAAUUUUGGUGCCUCAUACUUGGUUAAAACUGAACUGGAAAAGUAGGAUGAGAUACUUACGGAGUAAGAAAACUGCAAGUCAAGCCAAGGCAGUUGUCUGCUUAUAUGCCUUCCACUUUCGAAUUUUCCCCUUGUUAAGGGCUGAUUGAUGGAAUCCUUCUUUGUAUGUGUAGCUAGCCAGAAGCAAUCCCUUUGAAUAUAUCUACAUCAAUAAACUUCUUUUAUUGAUAUAGGAAGAGCUUGUUCUUUCCUGAUUGAAAUGAGGUUGGGCACAACAGAACAAUAUAUUGCUAUAACAGGCACAAGCCCCUAUGUCUUUUACAAGCUUAGAGUUAGAACACAUUAGAUUCAGGAGAGAUAGUGAGGUCCCCUAGGCUUUGCCUGCUUGCUGCAUGAAAAUGCACAAACCAAAGCAAAGAAAGAGAGCUCCCAUGGGCCCAUUCAAUAUAUAAAGCAACAAGGGCAACGAACUUUUCUGUUUUAUUGGUCAUGCUUCUCUCUCUCCCCUCUCAAAACAGUGUUGCUUCAAUCUUACUUCUUUAAAUAGGACCAAUGACUUCUUACCCGCCAAGUUAAAAACCACCUAAAGCUCUUGUCUUCCUCUGCUUUCUCUUCCCUUCCUUUCUCCUUCUGUUCACCUCUGAGUGUUCCACAAUCCACAUGCAUUUUCCUCCCCUAAAAAUCAACAUGGUUGCCCUGAGUUCUCUGUCCAAUGGCCUGCCAUUCUUUGGUGAAAGCUUGUAGAACUGAAUCAGCAGAAAGAUAUGGGGAGGGGUGGUAGAGCUUUGAGGUCUCUGUUUGGAGUUACACUACUUGUGGGAGUUAUUUGGUUUUUUUUUGUUGGCAUCAUAGCAAACCAUGCAACGGCGAUGACAAAAUCAAUGAUGGUUCCCUCAACUAGGGAUUUUAAACAUUGGGAGUUUGUUGCACAGGAGAGGUAUAAUUUUCAUCAGGAUUUCCAUCUCAACUAUGUCAGCAAGAGAAGAGUACCUAAUGGACCUGAUCCCAUUCACAACAGGAGAGCGGCAAAGUCUAGAGAACCACCAGGUCGAGCCUAAGUGUGAGGACAAUGACAUUCCUUGAGCUUCUGCAGAUGAUCACGGUGGAGAAAAUUUGUUUAAAUUUUUUUUAUGCUUCGUCGAUGGAGAGAUCAUAAACCUUGUACUUUAAAUUUUCCAGAAAUUUUCUUGCUAGUACUCAUGCUAUAUGCCACUUUGAGAAUUUGGGGAGUAAAUAUAUUCACCAAAAAAGUUUUGGGUUAAGUUUGCACUGCCAUUGGUGACUGCCUGAAAAUGAAGAUUUUCUUCAUGGAUAUCAAGAAAGUAAGUGCUUGCUCUAGCACAAGCAUCAAGUACACAACAACUGUGAGAACGACUGAACUUUUGGAGGUGUCCCACCUGCAUUUUGCUUGUCCUUGCUUAAUUCUUUUAAGGGAAGGAGAUUCAUGGAUAGGGUUUUGUUUAACAAUGACAAAACCAGGCCAAGCAGAAUUUGCUGUUAGGAGAUUGGAGCGAAUUCCAAUAAAGGAAUGUUGUCUCCGUACAUUGAUGUGUAGCUUUGUAACAUAUAUUAAUCAGCUACUACUAUCUCUUUUUGGGUUUUUUAUUUCAACUCUCUUGUUGCCUUUUCUUCUCCCCAGCUAAAUAAAGCAAAAGCCAAUAACUAAA
This is a non-coding RNA of Theobroma cacao (cacao), 1698 nucleotides long. Lineage: Eukaryota; Viridiplantae; Streptophyta; Magnoliopsida; Malvales; Malvaceae. The record is from RefSeq and is a predicted model, not a curated record.